This 933-nucleotide unclassified non-coding RNA is filed under the name uncultured Prochlorococcus sp. Its description in RNAcentral is "partial may contain 16S ribosomal RNA, 16S-23S ribosomal RNA intergenic spacer, and 23S ribosomal RNA". The stretch from base 347 to 419 matches the Rfam family "tRNA". Lineage: Bacteria; Bacillati; Cyanobacteriota; Cyanophyceae; Synechococcales; Prochlorococcaceae. The record is from RNAcentral.
GCCGAAGGUGGGGCUGAUGACUGGGGUGAAGUCGUAACAAGGUAUCCGUACCGGAAGGUGCGGAUGGAUCACCUCCUAACAGGGAGACAACACAAUGAUUUUGAUGUCUGAGUAUUUUAAUUCUUAGGCCGAAAUCCUGUCACCUUAGGUCGAUCGGUACCUCAAGUUGAGAAUCAAAGAAAAGCUGAGUAAUCAGCUUGGAGAUUGAUGAUUGAUUUUAGUUCCUAAACUUGUCUAGGUCACACCCCGCAAGGGUUACUCCUGGGCCAUUAGCUCAGGUGGUUAGAGCGCACCCCUGAUAAGGGUGAGGUCCCUGGUUCAAGUCCAGGAUGGCCCAUUCGGUGUUGGGGGUUUAGCUCAGUUGGUAGAGCGCCUGCUUUGCAAGCAGGAUGUCAGCGGUUCGAGUCCGCUAACCUCCACUGACGAAUCUUCUGACAACGAGCCAAUGGUGAGAAUCGUUGUGUGAUGUGAUUUAGAAUUUAAGUUUGCUGGCAGACCCUAGCUUCUUAUCAUUCCAGGUCUCAAUCAAUUGAGGUUAGGUUGAUAGGACGCUGGGCUCACUGUAAUUCGCAAGAAUUGCAGAGAUGUUCAGCAGAACCUUGACAACUGCAUAGGUAAGUCUGGAAAGAAUAAAGCAUCUCAUGGAUGCAUGAUUCUUGGGAAUCAGCUAAUGCAAUCUGCGUCAGUAGAGAGCUGAGGUUGAUGAACGAGAAUGAUGUUUGAUUCUUGAGUCAAGAGCCGAGACUCUAUAGCGUUCUUUCGAUGUCAUCGAGGCAUCGAGAGUUUGAUUGGUCAUUCAAACCAUCUUCAAUGACAAACAAUUCAGUUUAACUGGAGAAGUUUGAGAUUGAAGCCAGGUGAAUUGCUAAGAAUACGUAUUCAACUACGUGAAGCGUUAUAGAGAUUAAUUGGUCAAGCUACAAAGGGCUCAUG